Molecule: ribosomal RNA, 397 nt
Filed under: Escherichia coli
Lineage: Bacteria; Pseudomonadati; Pseudomonadota; Gammaproteobacteria; Enterobacterales; Enterobacteriaceae
Also listed under: 1 other name
Description: bacterial SSU rRNA
Rfam family: Bacterial small subunit ribosomal RNA
Source: RNAcentral
CUGAGAGGAUGACCAGCCACACUGGAACUGAGACACGGUCCAGACUCCUACGGGAGGCAGCAGUGGGGAAUAUUGCACAAUGGGCGCAAGCCUGAUGCAGCCAUGCCGCGUGUAUGAAGAAGGCCUUCGGGUUGUAAAGUACUUUCAGCGGGGAGGAAGGGAGUAAAGUUAAUACCUUUGCUCAUUGACGUUACCCGCAGAAGAAGCACCGGCUAACUCCGUGCCAGCAGCCGCGGUAAUACGGAGGGUGCAAGCGUUAAUCGGAAUUACUGGGCGUAAAGCGCACGCAGGCGGUUUGUUAAGUCAGAUGUGAAAUCCCCGGGCUCAACCUGGGAACUGCAUCUGAUACUGGCAAGCUUGAGUCUCGUAGAGGGGGGUAGAAUUCCAGGUGUAGCGG